Molecule: ribosomal RNA, 249 nt
Filed under: uncultured bacterium
Lineage: Bacteria
Description: partial 16S ribosomal RNA
Rfam family: Bacterial small subunit ribosomal RNA
Source: RNAcentral
UGAGUAACGCGUGAGUAACCUGCCUUCAAGAGGGGGAUAACAUUCUGAAAAGAAUGCUAAUACCGCAUGACAUAUCGGAAUCACAUGGUUCUGAUAUCAAAGAUUUUAUCGCUUGAAGAUGGACUCGUGUCCGAUUAGUUAGUUGGUGAGGUAACGGCUCACCAAGACCGCGAUCGGUAGCCGGACUGAGAGGUUGAACGGCCACAUUGGGACUGAGAGACGGCCCAAACUCCUACGGGAGGCAGCAUG